Molecule: ribosomal RNA, 788 nt
Filed under: uncultured Bacillus sp.
Lineage: Bacteria; Bacillati; Bacillota; Bacilli; Caryophanales; Bacillaceae
Description: bacterial SSU rRNA
Rfam family: Bacterial small subunit ribosomal RNA
Source: RNAcentral
UGCAAGUCGAGCGGACAGAUGGGAGCUUGCUCCCUGAUGUUAGCGGCGGACGGGUGAGUAACACGUGGGUAACCUGCCUGUAAGACUGGGAUAACUCCGGGAAACCGGGGCUAAUACCGGAUGGUUGUUUGAACCGCAUGGUUCAAACAUAAAAGGUGGCUUCGGCUACCACUUACAGAUGGACCCGCGGCGCAUUAGCUAGUUGGUGAGGUAACGGCUCACCAAGGCAACGAUGCGUAGCCGACCUGAGAGGGUGAUCGGCCACACUGGGACUGAGACACGGCCCAGACUCCUACGGGAGGCAGCAGUAGGGAAUCUUCCGCAAUGGACGAAAGUCUGACGGAGCAACGCCGCGUGAGUGAUGAAGGUUUUCGGAUCGUAAAGCUCUGUUGUUAGGGAAGAACAAGUACCGUUCGAAUAGGGCGGUACCUUGACGGUACCUAACCAGAAAGCCACGGCUAACUACGUGCCAGCAGCCGCGGUAAUACGUAGGUGGCAAGCGUUGUCCGGAAUUAUUGGGCGUAAAGGGCUCGCAGGCGGUUUCUUAAGUCUGAUGUGAAAGCCCCCGGCUCAACCGGGGAGGGUCAUUGGAAACUGGGGAACUUGAGUGCAGAAGAGGAGAGUGGAAUUCCACGUGUAGCGGUGAAAUGCGUAGAGAUGUGGAGGAACACCAGUGGCGAAGGCGACUCUCUGGUCUGUAACUGACGCUGAGGAGCGAAAGCGUGGGGAGCGAACAGGAUUAGAUACCCUGGUAGUCCACGCCCGUAAACGAUGAGUGCUAAGUGUUA